RNAcentral lists this ribosomal RNA (897 nucleotides) under uncultured crenarchaeote. RNAcentral's name for it is "bacterial SSU rRNA". It matches the Rfam family "Archaeal small subunit ribosomal RNA", at positions 1 to 886 of the family's 1478-position model. The record is from RNAcentral. Lineage: Archaea; Thermoproteati; Thermoproteota.
UUCCGGUUGAUCCUGCCGGACCCGACUGCUAUUUGGGUGAGGAUAAGCCAUGCGAGUUGAAUGGGAAACCUAAAGUUCCCAUGGCAAACUGCUCAGUAACACAUGAUCAACUUAACCUAUAGAGAAAAAUAACCUCGGGAAACUGAGGAUAAUGUUUCAUAGCUGAAUUGGCUUGGAAAAGUUUUUCGGCGAAAGGGGUAAAAAAAAUGGUUUUUAUCUGCUAUAGGAUAGGAUCGUGUUCGAUUAUGGUUGUUGGUGAGGUAAUGGCUCACCAAGCCGAUAAUCGAUAGGGGCCGUGAGAGCGGGAGCCCCGAGAUGGGUACUGAGACAACGACCCAGGCCUUACGAGGCGCAGCAGGCGCGAAACCUCCGCAAUACACGAAAGUGUGACGGGGUUACCCAAAGUGUUCAAUAGAACUGUGGUAGGUGAGUAAUGUUCCCUACUAGAAAGGAGAGGGCAAGGCUGGUGCCAGCCGCCGCGGUAAAACCAGCUCUUCAAGUGGUCGGGAUAAUUAUUGGGCUUAAAGUGUCCGUAGCCGGUUUAGUAAGUUCCUGGUAAAAUCGGGUAGCUUAACUAUCUAUAUGCUAGGAAUACUACUAUACUAGAGGGCGGGAGAGGUCUGAGGUACUACAGGGGUAGGGGUGAAAUCUUAUAAUCCUUGUUGGACCACCAGUGGCGAAGGCGUCAGACUGGAACGCGCCUGACGGUGAGGGACGAAAGCCAGGGGAGCGAACCGGAUUAGAUACCCGGGUAGUCCUGGCCGUAAACGAUGCAUACUAGGUGAUGGCACGGCCAUGAGCCGUGUCAGUGCCGUAGGGAAACCGUUAAGUGUGCCGCCUGGGAAGUACGGUCGCAAGGCUAAAACUUAAAGGAAUUGGCGGGGGAGCACCACAAGG